Erinaceus europaeus (western European hedgehog) is the source of this 127-nucleotide small nucleolar RNA. Lineage: Eukaryota; Metazoa; Chordata; Mammalia; Eulipotyphla; Erinaceidae. The record is from Ensembl.
GCCGAGGCUGGAGUCUCGCCCGGGCAUGGCAUUGCCCGGUCGUGCUGGAAUCCUCCGAGAGCAGCCGCUGGCCGUAUCCGCAGGCCGUGGCCCCGUGGCCGGGCCGGUCUCCAGGCCAGGGACAGGC